This 514-nucleotide long non-coding RNA is filed under the name Chloebia gouldiae (Gouldian finch). Its description in RNAcentral is "Erythrura gouldiae (Gouldian finch) lncRNA (ENSEGOG00005019002.1)". Lineage: Eukaryota; Metazoa; Chordata; Aves; Passeriformes; Passeridae. The record is from RNAcentral.
GUUUGCUCCUAAUGAAGGCAGAGCCUGCCAUUUUUGUUACAAUCCAGUACCAACACAGUCAUAAUUUCAUUUCCUUUUGAUUUUCAUCAGAUUUCUUUCAUGGGGGAUCAGCUGCAGGUGCCUGAGUCUAGAAAGGAGCAGGUGUGACAGAUCAGGUACAAUCUGAUGGCUGAUUGAAACCAAAAGGUUUCUUUUGAACCUUAGAUUUUUUCCACCUGUGAAGCCAAUUUUCCUGUGUUCUUUGUCUCAGUUGGUUUGUGUCUCUCCUCACCAUUCCAGGGGCUGCCCUUUGCAGAGCAGAAAAUUGGAGUUCUCAGUGAACAUCUCAAUCUUCCAACUGGAGAAGCAAGGAGUGUCCAACAGAACAGAAUUCUUUCUGGCAUCUCUACAGAAGCAGAGCCUGCCCUGUGCAUUGCAGUUUGAAAUUCCUUAACUCUCCAUAAAAUGCUCUCAAGAUUGGAUUCAUCAGCUCUUGCCAGGCCACAAAUUACUGCAGAUGAAUAAUAGAUGUUCU